RNAcentral lists this transfer RNA (84 nucleotides) under Chitinispirillum alkaliphilum. RNAcentral's name for it is "tRNA-Leu". It matches the Rfam family "tRNA". From Rfam's summary of the family: Transfer RNA (tRNA) molecules are approximately 80 nucleotides in length. Their secondary structure includes four short double-helical elements and three loops (D, anti-codon, and T loops). Further hydrogen bonds mediate the characteristic L-shaped molecular structure. tRNAs have two regions of fundamental functional importance: the anti-codon, which is responsible for specific mRNA codon recognition, and the 3' end, to which the tRNAs corresponding amino acid is attached (by aminoacyl-tRNA synthetases). tRNAs cope with the degeneracy of the genetic code in two manners: having more than one tRNA (with a specific anti-codon) for a particular amino acid; and 'wobble' base-pairing, i.e. permitting non-standard base-pairing at the 3rd anti-codon position. The record is from RNAcentral. Lineage: Bacteria; Pseudomonadati; Fibrobacterota; Chitinispirillia; Chitinispirillales; Chitinispirillaceae.
GCGGUCGUGGUGGAAUUGGUAGACACGCUACUUUGAGGGGGUAGUGGGUGUAAACCUGUGCCGGUUCGAGUCCGGCCGACCGCA